RNAcentral lists this long non-coding RNA (442 nucleotides) under Salvia miltiorrhiza (redroot sage). Its description in RNAcentral is "long non-coding RNA (SMIL_LNC009945)". Lineage: Eukaryota; Viridiplantae; Streptophyta; Magnoliopsida; Lamiales; Lamiaceae. The record is from RNAcentral.
UGGAAAAAAGAGUAAUGGCAGCGAUUAUUACUUCGCCUAACAAAAAAUUACAACACAAAUGGAGAAAAAAAAUUGUCGGAGCAUUCUUCGCGACAAAGCAGAGAUUAUCGGAAUGGAAAAAAAGAUACAGAUAAAAUGAGAAUUGCUUACCAGUUCGAGUCGACGGAGCCUUCUUUCACGGCAAAGCAGAUGAAGAAAAUGGCAGAUUGUGUUGUUCCCAAUUCCCAAUCUUUAAAAUCGAUUUUCGGAGGGCAUUAAUGAAAUUUGAAUUUUUUAGCCCUCCCAGAUUAAUGUAAACCGGCGCCCAACGCUGGUUAAUUGAACGAGGCGAAACAACCUAAUUAAUGCGGGCCGUCGGGCUGAUGCGGGCCAGCUUGAUUAUUUUCCAAUUCUAUCAAACACUAAGUAAAUGUUGGAUUAUUUAACAAACUAGCAUAUCCAG